GAUGAAGAACGUAGUGAAAUGCGAUAAGUAAUGUGAAUUGCAGAAUUCAGUGAAUCAUCGAAUCUUUGAACGCACAUUGCGCCCGCCAGUAUUCUGGCGGGCAUGCCUGUUCGAGCGUCAUUUCAACCAUCAAGCCCCAGGCUUGUGUUGGGGGCCUGCAGCUGCUGCAGCCCCCUAAAAGCAGUGGCGGACUCGCUGUCAUACCGAGCGCUGUAGUUACAUCUCGCUCUGGGCAUGGCGGCGGGCACCUGCCGUAAAACACUCUUUCUAAGGUUGACCUCGGAUCAGGUAGGAAUACCCGCUGAACUUAAGCAUAUCAAUAAGCGGAGGA
This 331-nucleotide unclassified non-coding RNA is filed under the name soil metagenome. Its description in RNAcentral is "partial contains 5.8S ribosomal RNA, internal transcribed spacer 2, and large subunit ribosomal RNA". The stretch from base 1 to 120 matches the Rfam family "5.8S ribosomal RNA", at positions 35 to 154 of the family's 154-position model. The record is from RNAcentral.